RNAcentral lists this ribosomal RNA (503 nucleotides) under uncultured Glomeromycotina. RNAcentral describes it as "partial small subunit ribosomal RNA". It matches the Rfam family "Eukaryotic small subunit ribosomal RNA", at positions 591 to 1092 of the family's 1831-position model. Lineage: Eukaryota; Fungi; Glomeromycota. The record is from RNAcentral.
CCAAUAGCGUAUAUUAAAGUUGUUGCAGUUAAAAAGCUCGUAGUUGAACUUCGGGGUUUACCCAUUGGUCAGGUUUAAUUAUCUGUACUGGUGAGAUAAGUCUCUACCUUCUGAGGAACUUCCAUGCCAUUUAUUUUGGUGUGGGAGGAAAUCAGGACUGUUACUUUGAAAAAAUUAGAGUGUUUAAAGCAGGCUAACGUCUGAAUACAUUAGCAUGGAAUAAUGAAAUAGGACGGACUGAUUCUAUUUCGUUGGUUUCUAGGAUCACCGUAAUGAUUAAUAGGGAUAGUUGGGGGCAUUAGUAUUCAAUUGUCAGAGGUGAAAUUCUUGGAUUUAUUGAAGACUAACUACUGCGAAAGCAUUUGCCAAGGAUGUUUUCAUUAAUCAAGAACGAAAGUUAGGGGAUCGAAGACGAUCAGAUACCGUCGUAGUCUUAACCAUAAACUAUGCCGACUAGGGAUCGGACGAAGUUAAUUUUAUAAUGACGCGUUCGGCACCUUACG